This 432-nucleotide ribosomal RNA is filed under the name uncultured bacterium. RNAcentral describes it as "bacterial SSU rRNA". It matches the Rfam family "Bacterial small subunit ribosomal RNA", at positions 9 to 414 of the family's 1533-position model. The record is from RNAcentral.
GAGUUUGAUCCUGGCUCAGGAUGAACGCUGGCGGCGUGCUUAACACAUGCAAGUCGAACGGGGGUGCCAUGAACGAAGCAUCAGUUUACUGAUAUGGAGGGAAUGGGACCCUAGUGGCGGACGGGUGAGUAACGCGUGGGUAACCUGCCCCAUACCGGGGGAUAACACUUAGAAAUAGGUGCUAAUACCGCAUAAGCGCACGGUACUGCAUGGUACAGUGUGAAAAACUCCGGUGGUAUGGGAUGGACCCGCGUCUGAUUAGCUUGUUGGCGGGGUAACGGCCCACCAAGGCGACGAUCAGUAGCCGGCCUGAGAGGGUGGACGGCCACACUGGGACUGAGACACGGCCCAAACUCCUACGGGAGGCAGCAGUGGGGAAUAUUGCACAAUGGGGGAAACCCUGAUGCAGCGACGCCGCGUGAGUGAAGAAGU